GAUGAACGCUAGCGGCAGGCUUAACACAUGCAAGUCGAGGGGUAUUGGUUUUCGGACCAAGAGACCGGCGCACGGGUGCGUAACGCGUAUGCAAUCUACCUUUUGCAGAGGGAUAGCCCAGAGGAAAUUUGGAUUAAUACCUCAUAGUAUAGUACUUUGGCAUCAAGGAACGUAUUAAAGUCACAACGGCAAAGAUGAGCAUGCGUCCCAUUAGCUAGUUGGUAAGGUAACGGCUUACCAAGGCUACGAUGGGUAGGGGUCCUGAGAGGGAGAUCCCCCACACUGGUACUGAGACACGGACCGAGACUCCUAC
This 313-nucleotide ribosomal RNA is filed under the name uncultured bacterium. RNAcentral describes it as "bacterial SSU rRNA". It matches the Rfam family "Bacterial small subunit ribosomal RNA", at positions 28 to 342 of the family's 1533-position model. The record is from RNAcentral.